This 252-nucleotide unclassified non-coding RNA is filed under the name Ascomycota sp. RNAcentral's name for it is "partial contains small subunit ribosomal RNA, internal transcribed spacer 1, and 5.8S ribosomal RNA". The stretch from base 1 to 47 matches the Rfam family "Eukaryotic small subunit ribosomal RNA", at positions 1785 to 1831 of the family's 1831-position model. The record is from RNAcentral. Lineage: Eukaryota; Fungi; Ascomycota.
AAAGUCGUAACAAGGUUUCCGUAGGUGAACCUGCGGAAGGAUCAUUAAUCCAGGCGCGAACCCCCCGACGGUGCGAGCCGAAGGAGGGCUAGCGCCGCCUUUAUACCCACCCUUUGCCUAUGUGUACCCCCAUCGCUUCCUCGGCGGGUCCGCCCGCCGCUAGGAACCAACCAAACCCCUUGCAUUAUACAUGAAAACCUCUGAUACCAACCAAAAUUAUUACAACUUUUAACAAUGGAUCUCUUGGUUCUG